AUACAGAGGGUGCGAGCGUUAAUCGGAAUUACUGGGCGUAAGGCGCGCGUAGGCGGCUGAUUAAGUCAGAUGUGAAAUCCCAGGGCUCAACCUUGGAACUGCAUCUGAUACUGGUCAGCUAGAGUUUAGGAGAGGGAAGUAGAAUUUCAGGUGUAGCGGUGAAAUGCAUAGAUAUCUGAAGGAAUACCAGUGGCGAAGGCGGCUUCCUGGCCUAAAACUGACGCUGAGGUGCGAAAGCGUGGGUAGCAAACGGGAUUAGAAACCCCAGUAGUCC
This 274-nucleotide ribosomal RNA is filed under the name uncultured bacterium. RNAcentral's name for it is "partial 16S ribosomal RNA". It matches the Rfam family "Bacterial small subunit ribosomal RNA", at positions 523 to 796 of the family's 1533-position model. The record is from RNAcentral.